UCCCACUGGCAAUGGGUAAAGAGACACUUUGUUGUUGGUGGUGGUCUUGUGUUAGGGGCAGAACAGAAAGCAGUUCUUUGUUCAUCCUAGCUUGAUGCCUGGCUUGGUGGCCAAAGCCGUUUUAUACAUGGGACACAUAA
Small nucleolar RNA from Arvicanthis niloticus (Nile rat), 140 nucleotides. RefSeq annotates it as small nucleolar RNA SNORA48. Lineage: Eukaryota; Metazoa; Chordata; Mammalia; Rodentia; Muridae. The record is from RefSeq and is a predicted model, not a curated record.